GUCUGUGUAGAUGAUGGUAGAGCAUCAGACUUUAAUCUGAGGGUUCAGGGUUCAAGUCCCUGUUCAGGUG
Tetraodon nigroviridis (spotted green pufferfish) is the source of this 70-nucleotide non-coding RNA. The record is from Rfam. Lineage: Eukaryota; Metazoa; Chordata; Actinopteri; Tetraodontiformes; Tetraodontidae.